Molecule: ribosomal RNA, 411 nt
Filed under: Triticum aestivum (bread wheat)
Lineage: Eukaryota; Viridiplantae; Streptophyta; Magnoliopsida; Poales; Poaceae
Description: partial small subunit ribosomal RNA
Source: RNAcentral
AUGGGGAUCAUAGCCCUCACAUCCAACUUUGUAAAUUCAUCAUCUCCAAAGGCAUCCAUGAAAAAGGGGGGCUGGUACUGUCCUCCUAGGAGUUUUGUGAAACUUAAUGUUGACGCCUCCUUUGACCAUGACAUGCUGAAGGGUACGAUGGAGGCAGUAUUGAGAGAUGACAAAGGUAGGUUUAUUGCAGGAGGAAAUGAAAAAAUUGACUACUGUGCGGAUAUUCUGAUGGCUGAAGCUUUAGCACUCGAAUUUGGCCUAACACUGGCGCAAAGGGCGGGGUGUAAUCGCAUAAUCAUCAACUCAGACAACUCGGAGGUCAUAGAGACCAUGCAGGGCGGAGGACAAUCAGCGGGUGCGGUGGUGGCAAUUUUCGAGGACUGCUUCACUAUGCAUGUGAUUUUGUCAUGA